CAGGAUGUAUAUCAAUUGGUAGAUUACUUGCUUUGGGAGCAAGAGGUUGCAAGUUCAAGUCUUGCCAUCCUGA
Molecule: transfer RNA, 73 nt
Filed under: Picobiliphyte sp. MS584-11
Lineage: Eukaryota; Picozoa
Description: tRNA-Pro
Rfam family: tRNA
About the family: Transfer RNA (tRNA) molecules are approximately 80 nucleotides in length. Their secondary structure includes four short double-helical elements and three loops (D, anti-codon, and T loops). Further hydrogen bonds mediate the characteristic L-shaped molecular structure. tRNAs have two regions of fundamental functional importance: the anti-codon, which is responsible for specific mRNA codon recognition, and the 3' end, to which the tRNAs corresponding amino acid is attached (by aminoacyl-tRNA synthetases). tRNAs cope with the degeneracy of the genetic code in two manners: having more than one tRNA (with a specific anti-codon) for a particular amino acid; and 'wobble' base-pairing, i.e. permitting non-standard base-pairing at the 3rd anti-codon position.
Source: RNAcentral